CCUACGGGGGCAGCAGUGAGGAAUAUUGGUCAAUGGGCGCAAGCCUGAACCAGCCAUCCCGCGUGAAGGAAGAAUGCGCUAUGCGUUGUAAACUUCUUUUCCAGGGGAAUAAAAUUUCGUACGAGUACGGGACUGAAGGUACCUUGGGAAUAAGCAUCGGCUAACUCCGUGCCAGCAGCCGCGGUAAUACGGAGGAUGCGAGCGUUAUCCGGAUUUACUGGGUUUAAAGGGUGCGUAGGCGGAAAAAUAAUUCAGUGGUGAAAACCUUCAGCUUAACUGGAGACUUGCCAUUGAUACUGUUAUUCGUGAGGAUAGUUAAGGUAGGCGGAAUGUGUAAUGUAGCGGUGAAAUGCUUAGAUAUUACACAGAACACCAAUUGCGAAGGCAGCUUACUGAUCUAUAACUGACGCUGAUGCACGAAAGCGUGGGGAGCGAACA
RNAcentral lists this ribosomal RNA (438 nucleotides) under uncultured prokaryote. RNAcentral describes it as "bacterial SSU rRNA". It matches the Rfam family "Bacterial small subunit ribosomal RNA", at positions 338 to 774 of the family's 1533-position model. The record is from RNAcentral.